RNAcentral lists this ribosomal RNA (795 nucleotides) under uncultured bacterium. RNAcentral's name for it is "bacterial SSU rRNA". It matches the Rfam family "Bacterial small subunit ribosomal RNA", at positions 8 to 796 of the family's 1533-position model. The record is from RNAcentral.
AGAGUUUGAUCAUGGCUCAGGAUGAACGCUAGCGGCAGGCUUAAUACAUGCAAGUCGUGGGGCAGCAUGGGGUAGCAAUACUCUGAUGGCGACCGGCAAACGGGUGCGGAACACGUACGCAACCUUCCCAAAACUGGUGAAUAGCCCUCCGAAAGGAGGAUUAAUACACCGUAACAUAAUGAAGUGGCAUCACUUUAUUAUUAUAGCUCCGGCGGUUUUGGAUGGGCGUGCGCCUGAUUAGGUAGUUGGCGGGGUAACGGCCCACCAAGCCUGCGAUCAGUAACUGGUGUGAGAGCACGACCAGUCACACGGGCACUGAGACACGGGCCCGACUCCUACGGGAGGCAGCAGUAAGGGAUAUUGGUCAAUGGACGCAAGUCUGAACCAGCCAUGCCGCGUGCAGGAUGAAGGCCCUCUGGGUUGUAAACUGCUUUUAUCUGGGACGAAAAACGGGAAUUCUUUCUCGCCUGACAGUACCAGAGGAAUAAGCACCGGCUAACUCCGUGCCAGCAGCCGCGGUAAUACGGAGGGUGCAAGCGUUAUCCGGAUUUACUGGGUUUAAAGGGUGCGUAGGUGGGCAGGUAAGUCAGUGGUGAAAUCUCCGGGCUUAACUCGGAAACUGCCAUUGAUACUAUCUGUCUUGAAUCAUCUGGAGGUAAGCGGAAUAUGUCAUGUAGCGGUGAAAUGCUUAGAUAUGACAUAGAACACCCAUUGCGAAGGCAGCUUACUACGGAUGCAUUGACACUGAGGCACGAAAGCGUGGGGAUCAAACAGGAUUAGAUACCCUAGUAGUCC